RNAcentral lists this ribosomal RNA (459 nucleotides) under uncultured bacterium. RNAcentral's name for it is "partial 16S ribosomal RNA". It matches the Rfam family "Bacterial small subunit ribosomal RNA", at positions 338 to 795 of the family's 1533-position model. The record is from RNAcentral.
CCUACGGUGGACAGCAGUGAGGAAUAUUGGUCAAUGGCCGUAAGGCUGAACCAGCCAAGUAGCGUGAGGGAAGACUGCCCUAUGGGUUGUAAACCUCUUUUAUGCGGGGAUAAAGGUGUCCACGUGUGGAUGUUUGCAGGUACCGCAUGAAUAAGGACCGGCUAAUUCCGUGCCAGCAGCCGCGGUAAUACGGAAGGUCCGGGCGUUAUCCGGAUUUAUUGGGUUAAAAGGGUGCGCAGGCGGAGGUGCAAGUCAGCGGUCAAAUUGCGGGGCUCAACCCCGUACUGUCGUUGAAACUGCAUCCCUUGAGUGCGCGAGAAGUAUGCGGAAUGCGUGGUGUAGCGGUGAAAUGCAUAGAUAUCACGCAGAACUCCGAUUGCAAAGGCAGCAUACCGGCGCGCAACUGACGCUCAUGCACGAAAGCGUGGGUAUCGAACAGGAUUAGAUACCCCUGUAGUC